This 967-nucleotide long non-coding RNA is filed under the name Homo sapiens (human). RNAcentral describes it as "HSALNT0279813". The record is from RNAcentral. Lineage: Eukaryota; Metazoa; Chordata; Mammalia; Primates; Hominidae.
AAAUCAAUCACGACCCUUUCAUGUGAAAUCUUUAAUGUUGUGAACCCUUAAAAGGGACAGAAAUUGUGCACUCGGGGAGCUCGGAUUUUAAGGCAGUAGCUUGCCGAUGCUCCCAGCUGAAUAAAGCCCUUCCUUCUACAACUCGGGGUCUGAGAGGUUUUGUCUGCGGCUCAUCCUGCUACAAGCCUGCACUAGGCAACGCUGAAGCCACAGAAGACACCGCAGUGGGAAAACCAGCAUAAGCCGCUGCCCCCAAGGAACCUCAAAGCCCAGGCAGAGGACCAGCCAUCCCAGUCGCACAGAUGGUGUUGGAACCGAAUUGGAGGACACCUGGAUGGUGUCCACUGCUUGGUGUUUGGGGGAAAACCCCCCACACAUUUGGUCACAGAAGUCUUCUGUGUUGAUGAUUUUUUGUGGUGUGACAGCAGAGGGAAGACACAGUUUGAGGUGGGAUUUAUCCUCUUUAAGACAACUUCCUGACCUCGGACACAUAGAAGGCUGCUGAAGGCAAUGGUGGAUCCUUUCAUUUCAAACAAAAUCACAUUCAAUUUUUUUGAGAGCUGCAGGCCUGGGUGGUGUUAAAUUGUGUCAUUUAGUAUUAAAGAAACACGAUAAAACUUUCAAAGACUGAUCAUGUGUCUUGGCUGUUUACUGUGGAAAGCUUAAAAGGAAGAGCUUCCAGAGAUCCUGAUCAAGAUGACCAAAUAGGAACAGCUCUGGUCUGCAGUUCCCAGCAAGAUGGACACAGAAGGCAGGUGAUUUCUGCAUUUCCAACUGAGGUACCUGGUUCAUCUCAUUGGGACUGGUUAGACAGUGGGUGCAGCCCACGGAGGGCGAGCUGAAGCAGGGUGGGGCGUCGCCUCACCUGGGAAGCACAAGGGGUCAGGGAAUUUUCUCCCCUACCCAAGGGAAGUUGUGAGGGACCAAGCCUGAGGAACCGGGGUCCAGAUACUGUGCUUGUCCCAUG